UCCCCGUUACCGGGGCAGUCUGAAUAGAAAAAUACAACUAUUCAUAAGGGUUGCGCUCGUUGAUGGACUUAACCAAACAUCUCACGACACGAGCUGACGACGGCCAUGCAACACCUGUCACUUGGUUCCCGAAGGCACUUUCGACUUUCAUCAAAAUUCCAAGGAUGUCAAGUCCAGGUAAGGUUCUUCGCUUAGCAUCGAAUUAAAGAACAUGAUCCACCGCUUGUGCGGGUCCCCGUCAAUUCAUUUGAGUUUUAAUCUUGCGACCGUACUCCCCAGGCGGGAUGCUUAACGCGUUAGCUUCGCUACUGAACGGGUCGAUACGUCCAACAGCUAGCAUCCAUCGUUUACGGCGUGGACUAC
Molecule: unclassified non-coding RNA, 363 nt
Filed under: uncultured bacterium
Lineage: Bacteria
Description: contains 16S-23S intergenic spacer region
Source: RNAcentral